This 489-nucleotide ribosomal RNA is filed under the name uncultured bacterium. RNAcentral describes it as "bacterial SSU rRNA". It matches the Rfam family "Bacterial small subunit ribosomal RNA", at positions 30 to 508 of the family's 1533-position model. The record is from RNAcentral.
AUUGAACGCUGGCGGCAGGCCUAACACAUGCAAGUCGAGCGGUAACAGGAAAUAGCUUGCUAUUUUGCUGACGAGCGGCGGACGGGUGAGUAACGCGUAGGAAUUUGCCCAGUAGUGGGGGAUAGCCCGGAGAAAUUCGGAUUAAUACCGCAUACGCCCUAAGGGGGAAAGCAGGGGAUCUUCGGACCUUGCGCUAUUGGAUAAGCCUGCGUGAGAUUAGCUAGUUGGUGAGGUAAGGGCUCACCAAGGCGACGAUCUCUAGCUGGUCUGAGAGGAUGAUCAGCCACACUGGAACUGAGACACGGUCCAGACUCCUACGGGAGGCAGCAGUGGGGAAUAUUGCACAAUGGGCGAAAGCCUGAUGCAGCCAUGCCGCGUGUGUGAGAAGGCUCUAGGGUUGUAAAGCACUUUCAGUAGGGAGGAAAGUCGAUAGUUAAUACCUAUCGGCCGUGACGUUACCUACAGAAGAAGCACCGGCUAACUCCGUCG